Molecule: transfer RNA, 75 nt
Filed under: Acidimicrobiales bacterium
Lineage: Bacteria; Bacillati; Actinomycetota; Acidimicrobiia; Acidimicrobiales
Description: tRNA-Asp
Rfam family: tRNA
About the family: Transfer RNA (tRNA) molecules are approximately 80 nucleotides in length. Their secondary structure includes four short double-helical elements and three loops (D, anti-codon, and T loops). Further hydrogen bonds mediate the characteristic L-shaped molecular structure. tRNAs have two regions of fundamental functional importance: the anti-codon, which is responsible for specific mRNA codon recognition, and the 3' end, to which the tRNAs corresponding amino acid is attached (by aminoacyl-tRNA synthetases). tRNAs cope with the degeneracy of the genetic code in two manners: having more than one tRNA (with a specific anti-codon) for a particular amino acid; and 'wobble' base-pairing, i.e. permitting non-standard base-pairing at the 3rd anti-codon position.
Source: RNAcentral
GGUCCCGUGGUGUAGUUUGGAGUGCACGCCGACCUGUCAAGCCGGAGGUCGCGGGUUCAAAUCCCGUCGGGACCG